This 873-nucleotide ribosomal RNA is filed under the name uncultured Caminicella sp. RNAcentral's name for it is "bacterial SSU rRNA". It matches the Rfam family "Bacterial small subunit ribosomal RNA", at positions 46 to 923 of the family's 1533-position model. Lineage: Bacteria; Bacillati; Bacillota; Clostridia; Peptostreptococcales; Caminicellaceae. The record is from RNAcentral.
GCCUACACAUGCAGUCGAGCGGACCAAUGCCCAUUUCAGCUUUGCUGAUUUGAGCAACGGUUAGCGGCGGACGGGUGAGUAACGCGUGGGCAACCUGCCCUGUGCAGGGGGAUAACACAGCGAAAGCUGUGCUAAUACCCCAUAAGACUACGCUAUCGCAUGAUAGAGUAGUCAAAGCUUUAGCGGCACAGGAUGGGCCCGCGUCUGAUUAGCUAGUUGGUGGGGUAACGGCCUACCAAGGCGACGAUCAGUAGCCGACCUGAGAGGGUGAUCGGCCACACUGGAACUGAGACACGGUCCAGACUCCUACGGGAGGCAGCAGUGGGGAAUAUUGCACAAUGGGGGAAACCCUGAUGCAGCAACGCCGCGUGAGCGAAGAAGGCCUUCGGGUCGUAAAGCUCUGUCCUAAGGGAAGAAGUAUGACGGUACCUUAGGAGGAAGCCCCGGCUAACUACGUGCCAGCAGCCGCGGUAAUACGUAGGGGGCGAGCGUUAUCCGGAAUCACUGGGCGUAAAGGGUGCGUAGGCGGCCGAGUAAGCCAGAGGUGAAAGGCUACGGCUUAACCGUAGUAAGCCUUUGGAACUACUUGGCUUGAGUGCAGGAGAGGAGAGUGGAAUUCCUAGUGUAGCGGUGAAAUGCGUAGAUAUUAGGAGGAACACCAGUGGCGAAGGCGACUCUCUGGACUGUAACUGACGCUGAGGCACGAAAGCGUGGGGAGCAAACAGGAUUAGAUACCCUGGUAGUCCACGCCGUAAACGAUGAGUGCUAGGUGUCGGGGGUUCACACCCUCGGUGNCGGAGUUAACGCAAUAAGCACUCCGCCUGGGGGAGUACGGUCGCAAGACUGAAACUCAAAGGAUUUGACGGGGGACCC